Cyprinus carpio carpio is the source of this 1388-nucleotide long non-coding RNA. NCBI's taxonomy places the organism in Eukaryota, Metazoa, Chordata, Actinopteri, Cypriniformes, Cyprinidae. The record is from Ensembl.
UUGAUGUAUCUGUUUUAAUAUUCCUCUGGUCAUAGAGCUUUUCAGAUGGAUGCUGAGGUUUUUUAGGUCAGGUAGAAUCUGCGAUCUCUGAUCCAGUUCGUUUGCUGGCUUCCUUGGCGGUAAUACGCUGUGUUUUCCACCAACUGGCAACCCGGGGUCUCAAAAUCCUAUUGGUUUAAUUGGCAGUGGGCGGAGUCACACAGACCAAAACAAAACCCAACAUUCUGACACGGAACACACAUUUCAAAGCAAAGUAAAUGGCAUUGUUUUUCAGAGAAAGUUAACGUGUUUUCUAAAUAUCUGCAGGUAUUUUAUGCUUCAGUGCAGCCAAAAUAUUACAUACAUACAGCGCCUUUAAGGCAGUAAGAUCAUAAGCUUUACUGGGAACACAAAAGGCACAGAAUACCUGCAAUGACCUGCAAAUACUUCUUGUAUAUUGUUGCGUACUCUUCUACACCAAUUUUGAUAUUAAUUUUCACUGAAUUUUGCCUUUGCAGGGCAGCAAACCUGAACAACAUUAAAUAGCAAUAUUCUGUAGUACUGUAAUGUUUUUGACAGUAUCUACCUGUAUCUAAAGCAAGAACCCUUGCUGUAAAGGAGUGAUUUUUGCUUGCCCUUCGGUUCCUCAGAAAGACGGAAGAAAGCAUGGUAUUCCACACACAUCUUCCAGAAGGCCUUGCAGACGUCACGACUGGCCAUAGCAAACUCGACCGUGUCCUUACGAGACUCCUGAACAGACACAAUGAUGCAAAACCAGAUUUUCAGAAACAGAAGACAAUACUUCAGUCACAUUAGUUCAAUCAAACACAAGUGGCAUGGGAAAGCACAUACCCUGCAGAAGAUAGGAGACCAGCAGAGCGGCGCUGUUGUCGUUACACGUCAGACUGCCGUUAGACAGAUCCUGUUUGAUCUGCAGCGCAAACAGAUACCUGUGAGAGACGAGUCCAGAGAUGUUCGUGUGCCGUUAUGAGCUGCUGUAUUGUUUGAUGUAGCGUGUGCUGCACCUGGUUAGUUCUCUCUGCAGUUGUCCUGGGUCUGGAGGGAAAAACUUCACUAUGAAGCGGAAAGUCAGAUCAUUCCUUCCUGUUUUAAGAGGAAGAGAAUAUCAUUUUUGGUUGUUUAUCAGCUUUUGCCUUCACAAGAUGUUAAUUGUUAACUGGAGCGGUGUGGUGUGAUGUUUUUAUCAGCUGUUUGGACUCUGAUUCUGACGGCACCCAUUCACUGCAGAGCAUCCGUUGAUGAGACACUGAUGCAAUGCUACAUUUCUCCAAAUCUGAUGAAGAAACAAACUCAUCUACAUCUUGGAGUAAAUUUUUCAUUUUUGGGGGAACUGUUCCUUUAAGGGCACAUCAAAAAUGAUAUGCAUGGAUAAAUCACUUACAAUAAAC